AUACCAUGAUGUGGACAUGUAACCAGUAGACCAUUGAAUCUCUCCCACGUUUCGUAUAGUGUCUUAGUUGGUUUCUGUUUGAAGCUCAAUAUCUCAUGAAUUU
RNAcentral lists this small nucleolar RNA (103 nucleotides) under Nicotiana sylvestris (wood tobacco). Its description in RNAcentral is "Plant small nucleolar RNA R71". It matches the Rfam family "Plant small nucleolar RNA R71". From Rfam's summary of the family: R71 is a member of the C/D box family of snoRNAs containing the C (UGAUGA) and D (CUGA) box motifs. Multiple nearly identical copies of this snoRNA have been identified in Arabidopsis, and it is thought to function as a 2'-O-ribose methylation guide for 18S ribosomal RNA. The record is from Rfam by way of RNAcentral. Lineage: Eukaryota; Viridiplantae; Streptophyta; Magnoliopsida; Solanales; Solanaceae.